Molecule: regulatory RNA element, 142 nt
Organism: Chlorocebus sabaeus (green monkey)
Lineage: Eukaryota; Metazoa; Chordata; Mammalia; Primates; Cercopithecidae
Rfam family: Mason-Pfizer monkey virus packaging signal
About the family: The packaging signal is located in the 5' UTR and is required for specific RNA encapsidation.
Source: Rfam
UGGCGCCCGAACAGGGACCUGGAAACGAGGGACUCCGUGAGGAAGAGGACGCCAAAGGAUGGUUGACCGCUAACAAAGCCAAAAGAAAGUGACCUCUUCCGAUCACCGCGGGACCCUGCCGCGUCAGAAUCGAAGGUAAGUG